RNAcentral lists this transfer RNA (71 nucleotides) under Candidatus Pacearchaeota archaeon CG06_land_8_20_14_3_00_35_12. RNAcentral describes it as "tRNA-Ala". It matches the Rfam family "tRNA". Rfam says of the family: Transfer RNA (tRNA) molecules are approximately 80 nucleotides in length. Their secondary structure includes four short double-helical elements and three loops (D, anti-codon, and T loops). Lineage: Archaea; Nanobdellati. The record is from RNAcentral.
GGGCCUGUAGUUCAAUGGUAGAAUGCGGCCAUGGCAUGGCUGUGGUCCGGGUUCGACUCCCGGCAGGUCCA